Molecule: ribosomal RNA, 678 nt
Filed under: Cytobacillus firmus
Lineage: Bacteria; Bacillati; Bacillota; Bacilli; Caryophanales; Bacillaceae
Description: bacterial SSU rRNA
Rfam family: Bacterial small subunit ribosomal RNA
Source: RNAcentral
AUGUNGAAGAACCACCAGUGGCGAAGGCGACUUUUUUGGUCUUGUAAUUGACGCUNAAGGCGCGAAAGCGUGGGAGCAAACAGGAUUAGAUACCCUGGUAGUCCACGCCGUAAACGAUGAGUGCUAAGUGUUAGAGGGUUUCCGCCCUUUAGUGCUGCAGCAAACGCAUUAAGCACUCCGCCUGGGGAGUACGGCCGCAAGGCUGAAACUCAAAGGAAUUGACGGGGGCCCGCACAAGCGGUGGAGCAUGUGGUUUAAUUCGAAGCAACGCGAAGAACCUUACCAGGUCUUGACAUCUCCUGACAACCCUAGAGAUAGGGCGUUCCCCUUCGGGGGACAGGAUGACAGGUGGUGCAUGGUUGUCGUCAGCUCGUGUCGUGAGAUGUUGGGUUAAGUCCCGCAACGAGCGCAACCCUUGAUCUUAGUUGCCAGCAUUCAGUUGGGCACUCUAAGGUGACUGCCGGUGACAAACCGGAGGAAGGUGGGGAUGACGUCAAAUCAUCAUGCCCCUUAUGACCUGGGCUACACACGUGCUACAAUGGAUGGUACAAAGGGCUGCAAGACCGCGAGGUUAAGCGAAUCCCAUAAAACCAUUCUCAGUUCGGAUUGCAGGCUGCAACUCGCCUGCAUGAAGCUGGAAUCGNUAGUAAUCGCGGNUCAGCACAGACGCGAAUUAAA